Molecule: long non-coding RNA, 679 nt
Filed under: Ananas comosus (pineapple)
Lineage: Eukaryota; Viridiplantae; Streptophyta; Magnoliopsida; Poales; Bromeliaceae
Description: long non-coding RNA (ACOM_LNC027399)
Source: RNAcentral
UUUGGGCCUUUUAGAAAACUUUUUCUAUACAAGGGCACACAACAACACACUAUGAAAGAUCAUAAAGUGCAUGAAAAGUUUGUUUGGAGUGAUACCAAUCAAGAGAGCUUCAUCAUUCUCAGACGCAUGAGCCAACGCUUUCUUCUACAACUCCUUGCUCAUAUAUAUAUACACACACACACACACUCCUUCUAGGGUUACUUGAUGCAAUUUGAAACCCCCAGAUCAGCAAUCGCAUUAAUAAGUGAAGUGUUCCAAAUUGCGCUUUGAUAAUAAAGCACUACAUGAAACAAAAAAAAAAAACAUAAAAAAUUUCCCCUCAAUCGCCUCUAUAUUUUAUAGCGGAAUCAGAAGUUACAAAUUAGAACGUCUGAUUUCUCGACUUCAGAAUCGUACUUCAGCUUUCCGUCGCAGAAGAAAAUGAUAAACAUUUCUGUUUACGAGAGGCUAUGCAAGCCGGCUCAUUACUUGUAAAUGCGCAUCCGGGGCCUAUGAAGGGGUAUCCAAUUGGUCAAGAAACUCAAACAAUUCAUUGAUUUCGUCACGGGUUCGAUGUUCCCGGUUGGUGAGUUCUAACCGUCCAGUUAUCUUAUUUCAUUUUCUAUCGAACUGGCCGAUCCGACUCGAAUUUUAAAACAUUGCUAAUCAUCUUAAGAAAGAAGAACUCAAGAAAAAAAGA